UACGGAGGGUGCGAGCGUUGUCCGGAAUCACUGGGCGUAAAGGGCGCGUAGGUGGUUGGAUGCGCCGGUGGUGAAAGCGCAGGGCUCAACCCUGCGUCGGCCAUCGGGACGGUCCGACUGGAGCACUGUAGAGGCAGGUGGAAUUCCGGGAGUAGCGGUGGAAUGCGUAGAGAUCCGGAAGAACACCGGUGGCGAAGGCGGCCUGCUGGGCAGUGGCUGACACUGAGGCGCGACAGCGUGGGGAGCAAACAGG
RNAcentral lists this ribosomal RNA (253 nucleotides) under uncultured bacterium. Its description in RNAcentral is "partial 16S ribosomal RNA". It matches the Rfam family "Bacterial small subunit ribosomal RNA", at positions 524 to 776 of the family's 1533-position model. The record is from RNAcentral.